GAUUUAGUAAAGUGGCGCACGGGUGAGUAAUACCUAGGUAACGUACCUUCUCGCUGGGGAUAACCAAGGGAAACUUUGGCUAAUACCGAAUGCCUCUAUCAUUUCUGCGGAAAGGGUAGAGAAAGCCGUAAGGCGCGAGAGGACCGGCUUAGGUCCUAUUAGCUAGUUGGUAGGGUAACGGCCUACCAAGGCUACGAUGGGUAGCUGGUCUGAGAGGAUGGCCAGCCACACUGGAACUGGAAUACGGUCCAGACUCCUACGGGAGGCAGCAGUUAGGAAUUUUGCGCAAUGGGGGAAACCCUGACGCAGCAACGCCGCGUGAAGGAAGAAGGCUCUCGGGUUGUAAACUUCUUUUGACGGGAACGAAAAAAAUGACGGUACCCGUAGAAAAAGCACCGGCUAACUACGUGCCAGCAGCCGCGGUAAUACGUAGGGUGCAAGCGUUAUUCGGAUUUAUUGGGCGUAAAGCGCAUGUCGGCGGUUUAGUAAGUCUAAUGUGAAAGCCCCGGACUUAAUUCGGGAAGUGCAUCGGAUACUGCUAGGCUAGAGUACAGGAGGGGUGAGCGGAAUUCCUGGUGUAGAGGUGAAAUUCGUAGAUAUCAGGAGGAACAACAGCGGCGAAGGCGGCUCACUGGACUGUAACUGACGCUCAGAUGCGAAAGUGUGGGGAGCAAACAGGAUUAGAUACCUGGUAGUCCACACUGUAAACGAUGGGUACUAGAUGUCGGAGGUUCUUACCCCUUCGGUGUCGUAGCUAAC
RNAcentral lists this ribosomal RNA (759 nucleotides) under uncultured Syntrophaceae bacterium. Its description in RNAcentral is "bacterial SSU rRNA". It matches the Rfam family "Bacterial small subunit ribosomal RNA", at positions 84 to 856 of the family's 1533-position model. The record is from RNAcentral. Lineage: Bacteria; Pseudomonadati; Thermodesulfobacteriota; Syntrophia; Syntrophales; Syntrophaceae.